GUUGAAUGACGUGCUUGCACUGAUUUCAACAAUGAAGCGAGUGGCGAACUGGUGAGUAACACGUGGGGAAUCUGCCCAGAAGCAGGGGAUAACACUUGGAAACAGGUGCUAAUACCGUAUAACAACAAAAUCCGCAUGGAUUUUGUUUGAAAGGUGGCUUCGGCUAUCACUUCUGGAUGAUCCCGCGGCGUAUUAGUUAGUUGGUGAGGUAAAGGCCCACCAAGACGAUGAUACGUAGCCGACCUGAGAGGGUAAUCGGCCACAUUGGGACUGAGACACGGCCCAAACUCCUACGGGAGGCAGCAGUAGGGAAUCUUCCACAAUGGACGAAAGUCUGAUGGAGCAAUGCCGCGUGAGUGAAGAAGGGUUUCGGCUCGUAAAACUCUGUUGUUAAAGAAGAACACCUUUGAGAGUAACUGUUCAAGGGUUGACGGUAUUUAACCAGAAAGCCACGGCUAACUACGUGCCAGCAGCCGCGGUAAUACGUAGGUGGCAAGCGUUGUCCGGAUUUAUUGGGCGUAAAGCGAGCGCAGGCGGUUUUUUAAGUCUGAUGUGAAAGCCUUCGGCUUAACCGGAGAAGUGCAUCGGAAACUGGGAGACUUGAGUGCAGAAGAGGACAGUGGAACUCCAUGUGUAGCGGUGGAAUGCGUAGAUAUAUGGAAGAACACCAGUGGCGAAAGGCGGCUGUCUAGUCUGUAACUGACGCUGAGGCUCGAAAGCAUGGGUAGCGAACAGGAUUAGAUACCCUGGUAGUCCAUGCCGUAACGAUGAGUGCUAGUGUUGGAGGGUUUCGCCCUCAGUGCUGCAGCUACGCAUAGCACUCCGCCUGGGGGAGUACGACGCAAGGUGAACUCAAAGGAAUUGACGGGGGCC
Molecule: ribosomal RNA, 873 nt
Filed under: Levilactobacillus brevis
Lineage: Bacteria; Bacillati; Bacillota; Bacilli; Lactobacillales; Lactobacillaceae
Description: bacterial SSU rRNA
Rfam family: Bacterial small subunit ribosomal RNA
Source: RNAcentral